Mustela putorius furo (domestic ferret) is the source of this 303-nucleotide long non-coding RNA. Lineage: Eukaryota; Metazoa; Chordata; Mammalia; Carnivora; Mustelidae. The record is from Ensembl.
CGCCCAGCUCCCCCCACACUGUGGAUGCUUCCUGCCUUAGGGGUUAGUCUAUAAGGGGUUUUUGGAACUCUGGAAAUGGAUUCUCAGCCGGAUGCUUACACAACUUCCACUGCAGAAAAGACUUGAGAAUAGAUGCCCCAGCUACAUACCCAGCGUGGAGCUGAGCAUGGGGCCUGGACUCACGACCCUGAGAUGGUGACCUGAGCAGAAAUUGAGCUGGACAUCUAAUUGACUGGACCACCUAGGAUCCCCCAAGGAGCCUGGGCAGCCGCUUCUGGGCGAUGGGGUAUGAUUUAAUACUCC